Molecule: ribosomal RNA, 91 nt
Filed under: Caecibacteroides pullorum
Lineage: Bacteria; Pseudomonadati; Bacteroidota; Bacteroidia; Bacteroidales; Bacteroidaceae
Source: RNAcentral
GGUUCCACCUCUUCCCAUUCCGAACAGAGAAGUUAAGCCCGGUCACGCCGAUGGUACUGCGUAACAGUGGGAGAGUAGGUCGCCGCCGUUU